UACGUAGGGGGCAAGCGUUAUCCGGAUUUACUGGGUGUAAAGGGAGCGCAGAUGGCUGUGCAAGUCUGAUGUGAAAGGCUGGGGCUCAACCCCGGGACUGCAUUGGAAACUGUAUGGCUUGAGUGCCGGAGGGGUAAGCGGAAUUCCUGGUGUAGCGGUGAAAUGCGUAGAUAUCAGGAGGAACACCGGUGGCGAAGGCGGCUUACUGGACGGCAACUGACGUUCAUGCUCGAAAGCGUGGGGAG
Molecule: ribosomal RNA, 245 nt
Filed under: uncultured Marvinbryantia sp.
Lineage: Bacteria; Bacillati; Bacillota; Clostridia; Lachnospirales; Lachnospiraceae
Description: partial 16S ribosomal RNA
Rfam family: Bacterial small subunit ribosomal RNA
Source: RNAcentral